AACGAACGCUGGCGGCAGGCUUAACACAUGCAAGUCGAGCGCCCCGCAAGGGGAGCGGCAGACGGGUGAGUAACGCGUGGGAACGUACCUUUUGGUUCGGAACAACUCCGGGAAACUGGAGCUAAUACCGGAUAAGCCCUACGGGGAAAGAUUUAUCGCCGAAAGAUCGGCCCGCGUCUGAUUAGCUAGUUGGUGAGGUAACGGCUCACCAAGGCGACGAUCAGUAGCUGGUCUGAGAGGAUGAUCAGCCACACUGGGACUGAGACACGGCCCAGACUCCUACGGGAGGCAGCAGUGGGGAAUAUUGGACAAUGGGCGCAAGCCUGAUCCAGCCAUGCCGCGUGAGUGAUGAAGGCCUUAGGGUUGUAAAGCUCUUUUGUCCGGGAAGAUAAUGACUGUACCGGAAGAAUAAGCCCCGGCUAACUUCGUG
This 430-nucleotide ribosomal RNA is filed under the name uncultured bacterium. RNAcentral's name for it is "partial 16S ribosomal RNA". It matches the Rfam family "Bacterial small subunit ribosomal RNA", at positions 29 to 507 of the family's 1533-position model. The record is from RNAcentral.